UACGGAGGAUCCGAGCGUUAUCCGGAAUCAUUGGGUUUAAAGGGUCCGUAGGCGGCUAUAUAAGUCAGUGGUGAAAGUUUUCGGCUUAACCGAAAAAUUGCCAUUGAUACUGUAUGGCUUGAAUGAUUUUGAAGUAACUAGAAUAUGUAGUGUAGCGGUGAAAUGCAUAGAUAUUACAUGGAAUACCAAUUGCGCAGGCAGGUUACUAAGAAUCGAUUGACGCUGAUGGACGAAAGCGUGGGUAGCGAACAGGAUUAGAUACCCUGGUAGUCCACGCCGUAAACGAUGGAUACUAGCUGUUUGGUUGUAAGACUGAGUGGCUAAGCGAAAGUGAUAAGUAUCCCACCUGGGGAGUACGGUCGCAAGACUGAA
Molecule: ribosomal RNA, 372 nt
Filed under: uncultured bacterium
Lineage: Bacteria
Description: bacterial SSU rRNA
Rfam family: Bacterial small subunit ribosomal RNA
Source: RNAcentral